GAUGAACGCUGGCGGCGUGCCUAAUACAUGCAAGUCGAGCGAACGGAUGAGAAGCUUGCUUCUCUGAUGUUAGCGGCGGACGGGUGAGUAACACGUGGAUAACCUACCUAUAAGACUGGGAUAACUUCGGGAAACCGGAGCUAAUACCGGAUGAUAUUUUGAACCGCAUGGUUCAAUAGUGAAAGACGGUCUUGCUGUCACUUAUAGAUGGAUCCGCGCUGCAUUAGCUAGUUGGUAAGGUAACGGCUUACCAAGGCAACGAUGCAUAGCCGACCUGAGAGGGUGAUCGGCCACACUGGAACUGAGACACGGUCCAGACUCCUACGGGAGGCAGCAGUAGGGAAUCUUCCGCAAUGGGCGAAAGCCUGACGGAGCAACGCCGCGUGAGUGAUGAAGGUCUUCGGAUCGUAAAACUCUGUUAUUAGGGAAGAACAUAUGUGUAAGUAACUGUGCACAUCUUGACGGUACCUAAUCAGAAAGCCACGGCUAACUACGUG
This 497-nucleotide ribosomal RNA is filed under the name uncultured bacterium. RNAcentral describes it as "partial 16S ribosomal RNA". It matches the Rfam family "Bacterial small subunit ribosomal RNA", at positions 28 to 507 of the family's 1533-position model. The record is from RNAcentral.